AUGUAGGAAGAAGAGAAAAAAGA
Molecule: small RNA, 23 nt
Filed under: Arabidopsis thaliana (thale cress)
Lineage: Eukaryota; Viridiplantae; Streptophyta; Magnoliopsida; Brassicales; Brassicaceae
Description: ATSL127960
Source: RNAcentral